RNAcentral lists this ribosomal RNA (444 nucleotides) under Stenotus penniseticola. RNAcentral describes it as "partial large subunit ribosomal RNA". The stretch from base 318 to 444 matches the Rfam family "Bacterial large subunit ribosomal RNA", at positions 2473 to 2600 of the family's 2925-position model. The record is from RNAcentral. Lineage: Eukaryota; Metazoa; Arthropoda; Insecta; Hemiptera; Miridae.
GACUGUACAAAGGUAGCAUAAUCAUUUGUCUUUUAAUUGGAGGCUGGUAUGAAUGGCUGGAUGAAAAAUAGUCUUUCUUUAUUUUAUAUAAAAAAAUUAAUUUUUUAGUCAAAAAGCUAAGAUAAUUUUAUAGGACGAGAAGACCCUAUAGAACUUUAUUUUCUAUGUUUAUAACUUUUAUAGUUUUAUAAAAAGUUAUAAAUAAAUGUUAAUUUUGUUGGGGUGAUUGAAAAAAUUAUAUAACUUUCUCUAUUUUAUACAUUUAUAUAUGUAAUUUUGAUCCUUUAUUAUGGAUAAUAAGAUUAAGUUACCUUAGGGAUAACAGCGUUAUUUUUUUGGAGAGUUCUUAUCGAUAAAGAAGUUUGCGACCUCGAUGUUGGAUUAAAAUAAGUAUCAGGAGCAGAAUAUUGUUUACUAGGUCUGUUCGACCUUUAAUUUUUUACA